CCUACGGGAGGCAGCCGUGAGGAAUAUUGGUCAAUGGACGCAAGUCUGAACCAGCCAUGCCGCGUGCAGGAUGACGGCUCUAUGAGUUGUAAACUGCUUUUGUACGAGGGUAAACCCCGAUACGUGUAUCGGGUUGAAAGUAUCGUACGAAUAAGGAUCGGCUAACUCCGUGCCAGCAGCCGCGGUAAUACGGAGGAUCCGAGCGUUAUCCGGAUUUAUUGGGUUUAAAGGGUGCGUAGGCGGUUUGAUAAGUUAGAGGUGAAAUGUCGGGGCUCAACCCCGAAACUGCCUCUAAUACUGUUGGACUAGAGAUCGUAUGCAGCAGGCGGAAUGUGUAGUGUAGCGGUGAAAUGCAUAGAUAUUACACAGAACACCGAUUGCGAAGGCAGCUUGCUAGGCCGGAUCUGACACUGAUGCACGAAAGCGUGGGGAUCGAACAGGAUUAGAUACCCCAGUAGUC
Molecule: ribosomal RNA, 460 nt
Filed under: uncultured bacterium
Lineage: Bacteria
Description: partial 16S ribosomal RNA
Rfam family: Bacterial small subunit ribosomal RNA
Source: RNAcentral